Molecule: ribosomal RNA, 484 nt
Filed under: uncultured bacterium
Lineage: Bacteria
Description: partial 16S ribosomal RNA
Rfam family: Bacterial small subunit ribosomal RNA
Source: RNAcentral
AUUGAACGCUGGCGGCAGGCCUAACACAUGCAAGUCGAGCGGAUGAAGGGAGCUUGCUCCUGGAUUCAGCGGCGGACGGGUGAGUAAUGCCUAGGAAUCUGCCUGGUAGUGGGGGAUAACGUCCGGAAACGGGCGCUAAUACCGCAUACGUCCUGAGGGAGAAAGGGGGGGAUCUUCGGACCUCACGCUAUCAGAUGAGCCUAGGUCGGAUUAGCUAGUUGGUGGGGUAAAGGCCUACCAAGGCGACGAUCCGUAACUGGUCUGAGAGGAUGAUCAGUCACACUGGAACUGAGACACGGUCCAGACGCCUACGGGAGGCAGCAGUGGGGAAUAUUGGACAAUGGGCGAAAGCCUGAUACAGCCAUGCCGCGUGUGUGAAGAAGGUCUUCGGAUUGUAAAGCACUUUAAGUUGGGAGGAAGGGCAGUAAGUUAAUACCUUGCUGUUUUGACGUUACCAACAGAAUAAGCACCGGCUAACUUCGUG